This 428-nucleotide small RNA is filed under the name Homo sapiens (human). Its description in RNAcentral is "novel transcript (ENSG00000282519.1)". The record is from RNAcentral. Lineage: Eukaryota; Metazoa; Chordata; Mammalia; Primates; Hominidae.
AGCUCACGCUGCAGGCCAUCAAGGACACAGAGGCCCAGGUGGACAGGCUGCGGCAGGAGGCCCAGAAGGCCGAGGAGGCGCUGGCUAUGGCCAGGCUGGAGCUUCGGGAGCAGACGCAGGAGGGGGAGGAAGAGGCGCCUGGGCUGAAGUGCCAGGUCACCGAGCUGCACGAUGUGCUGAUGAAAGAUGUAGGCAACCGCAUCCGUGCCGAUGGCCGGUCAGUUCUCCGGGCCAGACGUGGGCGAUUUGGGGUUUGGACAGACAGCAGUGACCUGAUGGGUGUCCCCAGGUGGCCUCUUGUUAUUGACCCUUUGGGCCAGGCGGCCACCUUCCUGCGCUACCAGGAUACCAACUAUGUGGACACGGUGAACCCGGAGCCCCUGAGGCCGGAGACGAUGUGGCUGGCUCUGCUGGGGGCUCUGCGGUGA